RNAcentral lists this unclassified non-coding RNA (336 nucleotides) under soil metagenome. Its description in RNAcentral is "partial contains 5.8S ribosomal RNA, internal transcribed spacer 2, and large subunit ribosomal RNA". The stretch from base 1 to 120 matches the Rfam family "5.8S ribosomal RNA", at positions 35 to 154 of the family's 154-position model. The record is from RNAcentral.
GAUGAAGAACGCAGCGAAAUGCGAUAAGUAAUGUGAAUUGCAGAAUUCAGUGAAUCAUCGAAUCUUUGAACGCACAUUGCGCCCGCCAGUAUUCUGGCGGGCAUGCCUGUUCGAGCGUCGUUUCAACCAUCAAGCCCCCGGCUUGUGUUGGGGACCUGCGGCUGCCGCAGGCCCUGAAAAGCAGUGGCGGGCUCGCUGUCACACCGAGCGUAGUAGCAUACAUCUCGCUCUGGGCGUGCUGCGGGUUCCGGCCGUUAAACCACCUUCAUAACCCAAGGUUGACCUCGGAUCAGGUAGGAAGACCCGCUGAACUUAAGCAUAUCAAUAAGCGGAGGA